AUUGAACGCUGGCGGCAGGCCUAACACAUGCAAGUCGAGCGGAUGAAGGGAGCUUGCUCCUGGAUUCAGCGGCGGACGGGUGAGUAAUGCCUAGGAAUCUGCCUGGUAGUGGGGGAUAACGUCCGGAAACGGGCGCUAAUACCGCAUACGUCCUGAGGGAGAAAGUGGGGGAUCUUCGGACCUCACGCUAUCAGAUGAGCCUAGGUCGGAUUAGCUAGUUGGUGGGGUAAAGGCCUACCAAGGCGACGAUCCGUAACUGGUCUGAGAGGAUGAUCAGUCAACUUGAAAUUGAGACCCGGCCCAGCUUCCUACGGGGGGAAGGAGUGGGGAAUUUUGGAAAUUGGGCGAAACCCUAUACAAGCCGCGCCGCGGGGGUAAAAAAGUCUUUAGGAGUAUAAAUCCCUUUAAAUGGGGGGGAAGGAGGAUAAGUUAAAACCUUUGUUUUUGGCCGUUACCAAGAAAAAAAGCACAGGCAAAGUUAUU
This 483-nucleotide ribosomal RNA is filed under the name uncultured bacterium. RNAcentral's name for it is "partial 16S ribosomal RNA". It matches the Rfam family "Bacterial small subunit ribosomal RNA", at positions 30 to 506 of the family's 1533-position model. The record is from RNAcentral.